GACAGAGGGGGCAAGCGUUGCUCGGAAUCACUGGGCGUAAAGGGCGCGUAGGCGGGAUGGCAAGUCGGUCGUGAAAUCUCUCGGCUCAACCGAGAAACGUCGGCCGAUACUGCCGUUCUUGAGGGAUGCAGAGGAGACUGGAAUUCCUGGUGUAGCGGUGAAAUGCGCAGAUAUCAGGAGGAACACCGGUGGCGAAGGCGGGUCUCUGGGCCGAUACUGACGCUGAGGAGCGAAAGCGUGGGGAGCGAACAGG
RNAcentral lists this ribosomal RNA (253 nucleotides) under uncultured bacterium. Its description in RNAcentral is "partial 16S ribosomal RNA". It matches the Rfam family "Bacterial small subunit ribosomal RNA", at positions 524 to 776 of the family's 1533-position model. The record is from RNAcentral.